GAUGAAGAACGCAGCGAAAUGCGAUACGUAAUGUGAAUUGCAAAUUCAGUGAAUCAUCGAGUCUUUGAACGCACAUUGCGCCCCCUGGUAUUCCGGGGGGCAUGCCUGUCCGAGCGUCAUUACUGCCCUCAAGCCCGGCUUGUGUGUUGGGCCCCGUCCUCCGAUCCGGGGGGACGGGCCCGAAAGGCAGCGGCGGCACCGCGUCCGGUCCUCGAGCGUAUGGGGCUUUGUCACCCGCUCUGUAGGCCCGGCCGGCGCUUGCCGAUCAACCCCAAUUUUUUAUAGGUUGACCUCGGAUCAGGUAGGGAUACCCGCUGAACUUAAGCAUAUCAAUAAGCGGAGGA
This 344-nucleotide unclassified non-coding RNA is filed under the name soil metagenome. RNAcentral's name for it is "partial contains 5.8S ribosomal RNA, internal transcribed spacer 2, and large subunit ribosomal RNA". The stretch from base 1 to 119 matches the Rfam family "5.8S ribosomal RNA", at positions 35 to 154 of the family's 154-position model. The record is from RNAcentral.